GAUGAACGCUGGCGGCGUGCCUAAUACAUGCAAGUCGAGCGAACGGACGAGAAGCUUGCUUCUCUGCUGUUAGCGGCGGACGGGUGAGUAACACGUGGAUAACCUACCUAUAAGACUGGGAUAACUUCGGGAAACCGGAGCUAAUACCGGAUAAUAUUUUGAACCGCAUGGUUCAAAAGUGAAAGACGGUCUUGCUGUCACUUAUAGAUGGAUCCGCGCUGCAUUAGCUAGUUGGUAAGGUAACGGCUUACCAAGGCAACGAUGCAUAGCCGACCUGAGAGGGUGAUCGGCCACACUGGAACUGAGACACGGUCCAGACUCCUACGGGAGGCAGCAGUAGGGAAUCUUCCGCAAUGGGCGAAAGCCUGACGGAGCAACGCCGCGUGAGUGAUGAAGGUCUUCGGAUCGUAAAACUCUGUUAGUAGGGAAGAACAUAUGUGUAAGUAACCGUGCACAUCUUGACGGUACCUAAUCAGAAAGCCACGGCUAACUACGUG
This 497-nucleotide ribosomal RNA is filed under the name uncultured bacterium. RNAcentral's name for it is "partial 16S ribosomal RNA". It matches the Rfam family "Bacterial small subunit ribosomal RNA", at positions 28 to 507 of the family's 1533-position model. The record is from RNAcentral.